GGACGGUUAGCUCAGCUGGUUAGAGCGCCUCGUUUACACCGAGGAGGUCACUGGUUCAAAUCCAGUAUCGUCCACCA
This 77-nucleotide transfer RNA is filed under the name Candidatus Doudnabacteria bacterium RIFCSPHIGHO2_01_48_18. RNAcentral's name for it is "tRNA-Val". It matches the Rfam family "tRNA". Rfam says of the family: Transfer RNA (tRNA) molecules are approximately 80 nucleotides in length. Their secondary structure includes four short double-helical elements and three loops (D, anti-codon, and T loops). Lineage: Bacteria; Candidatus Doudnaibacteriota. The record is from RNAcentral. RNAcentral also lists the same sequence under 6 other names.